RNAcentral lists this ribosomal RNA (1355 nucleotides) under Calacta lugubris. RNAcentral describes it as "16S ribosomal RNA". The stretch from base 898 to 1280 matches the Rfam family "Archaeal large subunit ribosomal RNA", at positions 2150 to 2716 of the family's 2987-position model. The record is from RNAcentral. Lineage: Eukaryota; Metazoa; Arthropoda; Insecta; Hemiptera; Plataspidae.
UAUUAUAUAUUGUUUAAUUUAUCUGUUUAUAUAAUUAAUAUUUGUUGCUUAAUAGAAAUAACUUAUUUAUAGGUAUUUAGUAGUUUUUAUCGAAAAUUUAUGUUAAUUGUUUUAAUAGUUUAUUUUAUCCGUAAGGUGUAAUUAUUAUGUUUAAUAUGUUAUAAGUAGAAUUUGUUUUUUGUACCUUUUGUAUCAGGGUUUGUCAAUAUCUGUUAUAUAAUUUAUAAUUAUCCCGAAAUUGUAGGAGAUAUAAUUUAUCUGUUAUUUGUUGUUUUAUAAACAUUAAUAAGUUUAUUAUAGGGGAUAUAUUCUAUUCAACUACAAAUAUCUGGUUUUUUAAUACAUGAAUUUAAUUCAGGUGCCUAAAUAUUGGGAAUUAAUUAUAUAAUUGAAUUUAUAUUAAUUUUAGGUUCUAAGAUUAUAGGGGAUAAGCUCUGUGAUUGUUUUAUAGCUUUAUAUCAUAUCUUGUAUUUUGACAUGAUUUGUAGGAUUAAUAAUGUCUUUCUAUUAAAUAUUUUAUUAUUAUUAAUCAUGUUUAGUAUGUUUAAAUUUAAUUUAAUGGUUGCUUAAUUUUUUAUUAAAAUUCUUGAUUUAAUAUUUAUAUUUUGGUAAUAAUGAUGGAAUUAGUAAAUAUUUAUUUUAUAUAUAGUAAUUCGGCAAAUUUGAUUCUCACCUGUUUAUCAAAAACAUGUCCUGUUGUUUAUAAUUUUAUAUCAGGUCAAUCCUGCUCAAUGAUUGGUAAUUACUAAUUUAAUAGCCGCAGUACUCUGACUGUGCAAAGGUAGCAUAAUCAUUUGUCUUUUAAUUGAGGGCUUGUAUGAAUGGUUUGAUGAAGUUUCAGCUUUCUUUAUAUAAUUAUUUUGAAUUUAACUUUUUAGUCAAAAGGCUAAAAUGAUUUUAUGGGACGAGAAGACCCUAUAGAAAUUUACUCUUAUUAGGAUUAAUAAUUUAUAAUUUUAUGUUAUUAGUAGUUUUUUAUUUUUAAGGGGGUUUUGUUGGGGCGACAUGGAGAUUUAAUUAACUCUUUAUUUUUAUUUAUUUAUUGAUUUAUAUUUACUUUUGAUCCUCUAUAUAUUAGGGAUAAUAAGAUUAAUUUACCUUAGGGAUAACAGCGUAAUUCUUCUGGAGAGUUCAUAUCGAUGGAAGAGUUUGCGACCUCGAUGUUGGAUUAAAAUUAGCUUUAAGUGCAGCAGCUUAUUUAUGCUAGGUCUGUUCGACCUUUAAUUUUUUACAUGAUCUGAGUUCAGACCGGCGUGAGCCAGGUUGGUUUCUAUCUAUAAUAUUAUUAUACAUCUUAGUACGAAAGGAUCAGGUGUUUCAAUUAUUUUGUAAUAUAUGUGUUUAUUAUUAAAUUU